This is a non-coding RNA of Aedes albopictus (Asian tiger mosquito), 47 nucleotides long. The record is from Rfam. Lineage: Eukaryota; Metazoa; Arthropoda; Insecta; Diptera; Culicidae.
AAAAAGGCCCUUUUCAGGGCCACUGCAACCCUCCCGCGUAAGAGUUG